This 85-nucleotide ribosomal RNA is filed under the name uncultured bacterium. Its description in RNAcentral is "partial 16S ribosomal RNA". It matches the Rfam family "Bacterial small subunit ribosomal RNA", at positions 406 to 508 of the family's 1533-position model. The record is from RNAcentral.
UGAUGAAGGCCCUAGGGUUGUAAAGCUCUUUUGUGCGGGAAGAUAAUGACGGUACCGCAAGAAUAAGCCCCGGCUAACUUCGUGC